Molecule: long non-coding RNA, 553 nt
Filed under: Panax ginseng (ginseng)
Lineage: Eukaryota; Viridiplantae; Streptophyta; Magnoliopsida; Apiales; Araliaceae
Description: long non-coding RNA (PGIN_LNC003317)
Source: RNAcentral
ACAAGCACUUAGCUUCAUUCUCCCAAGCUUAAACCUACGAAAUUCUCUUAACACAUCAGUCUAUAAACAAGCCCCAUUCACACCAAUAACAAAUCAGUAGCCAAAAAUCAGAAUCAAAGCUUAAAAAGGUAUAAACCCUAGCUUGAUUUUUCUUAAACUUUUUGGUGUUAGAUGUUAUGUUUAAAUGUUAAAACAUGUUGAUUAUAGUGUCUAAGGAUGAUCUGGGUUGCUUGAUGUUGAUUCCAUAACAUUCAGAAGCUCGGAUUUGAAGAUCUUUAAAAUCUGGAAAUUUUCAUUUUUGUGUUCUGACAACGAAUGUCAGAGGCUGUAGAUCCCAUCCUGUUAAGAGUUUUUGAUGUUUAAAGCUUGUUAUGUGUAGCCUGUCAUGUUGUCUUUAUUCUGCAAAAGGAAUCAUGGUCAUAUCUGUUGUAGAUUAGAAGUUAUUUAUGGUCAAACUACCAUUGACCGAACUGCUCAAGAACUUUCUGGGUUUUCCAGAAAUGUUCAAGAACAGUUGUUGAGGUCGCAUUUGACCGGCCUCUUUCUGUUGGAU